RNAcentral lists this ribosomal RNA (467 nucleotides) under uncultured bacterium. RNAcentral's name for it is "bacterial SSU rRNA". It matches the Rfam family "Bacterial small subunit ribosomal RNA", at positions 338 to 795 of the family's 1533-position model. The record is from RNAcentral.
CCUACGGGGGGCUGCAGUCGAGAAUCUUCGGCAAUGGGCGAAAGCCUGACCGAGCGACGCCGCGUGAGCGAAGAAGGCCCUAUGGGUUGUAAAGCUCUGUCAGAUUGGGAAGAAAACCUCGUGAUUAAUACCUGCGAGGCUUGACGGUACCAUCAGAGGAAGCACCGGCUAACCCCGUGCCAGCAGCCGCGGUAAUACGGGGGGUGCAAGCGUUGUUCGGAUUCACUGGGUAUAAAGGGUGCGCAGGCGGCCUGUUAAGUCAGAGGUGAAAUCUGUCGGCUCAACCGACAGACUGCCCCUGAAACUGACAGGCUUGAGUCCGGGAGAGGAAGGUGGAAUUCCAGGUGUAGCGGUGAAAUGCGUAAAUAUCUGGAGGAACACCGGUGGCGAAGGCGGCCUUCUGGCCCGGAACUGACGCUCAGGCACGAAAGCUAGGGGAGCGAACGGGCUUAGAUACCCCUGUAGUC